CAGGAGAAUUAAAAGAUACAUUUAGAUACCAACGUAUAACAAUAAAAAGUGAAUAUCAUAUCCAAAAUGCAUUGUCAAGCUUCCCAGGCCCCUAGUACAUUGCAAUCAAACUCCCAAAAAAUUUGGGGAAGAACAAAAGACCAGAUAUCCUAUUCUAGAUUUCCCUUGUUCAAUAGGAAAGCGAAACAGCUUCGAAAGCUCGUGUAGAGAGUAGUGAUACAUUACUAGGAACAAGUACUCGCCUACCCAAGAAAAUAACAUAAAAAGAAAACUUCCAGCAAAAAAGUUGAUAUUAACAUACUUGACAAUAGAUUAUCUCUUGCAGCUGAACCAACAGGCAUUCUCAAAGUUCCAUAGAAUUUGUCUGCCAACUGGUUCAUUCUAUCUUUCCCCAUUUGAACAGCAGACACUCAAAUGCUAUUUAAACAUAUGUAAUAUUGAGCUCUUUUUCGUUAAUUUUUAGUAGUCAUAAAACUGAGUGGGGAUUGGUUGCUUCCAUAUUUUUCUCCUUACCUUCAGAUUCCAUGAUCAGCAGUUACUUCAGUUAAAACCGGAGGUGAUAUUGGUGCACUGGAGCUGCUGCCAAUCAUACUGCGAAGAUCUUGAAUAGAUACCUUCACCCGAUCCUCAAUUUCCAACCCAGCCCUAACAUUUUGAUUCGUCUCAUUUGGAGGAACUUGAGAUACUGUAUUGCCAAUUUUGAUGUCUUGCAAUUGUUCUUUACCAUCUUCAUUGUCUUGAUUAAUCGAUG
RNAcentral lists this long non-coding RNA (751 nucleotides) under Panax ginseng (ginseng). RNAcentral describes it as "long non-coding RNA (PGIN_LNC014903)". Lineage: Eukaryota; Viridiplantae; Streptophyta; Magnoliopsida; Apiales; Araliaceae. The record is from RNAcentral.